GGUUCCUGUGGCUUAACUGGUAGAUCAUUGCGCUAACAACGCAAAGGUUGUGGGUUCUAAUCCUGAAGAAAGCA
Molecule: non-coding RNA, 74 nt
Organism: Danionella cerebrum
Lineage: Eukaryota; Metazoa; Chordata; Actinopteri; Cypriniformes; Danionidae
Source: the annotation of a GenBank genome assembly